CUAACAAGGAUUCCCCCAGUAACGGCGAGUGAAGCGGGAAGAGCUCAAAUUUGAAAUCUCCGACGCUUGCGUCGGCGAGUUGUAGUUGCGAGAAGCACUUUCUAGGUGGAUCGGUCGCGCCUAAGUUGCUUGGAACGGCAGGUCGCAGAGGGUGACAACCCCGUCUGUGGCGCCAUCCGGCCGCCGACGAUGUGCUUUCGAAGAGUCGGGUUGUUUGGGAAUGCAGCCCAAAAGGGGUGGUAAACUCCAUCUAAAGCUAAAUAUCGGCGCGAGACCGAUAGCGAACAAGUACCGUGAGGGAAAGAUGAAAAGAACUUUGAAAAGAGAGUUAAAAAGUACGUGAAACCGUCGGAAGGGAAACGAAUGGACUCAGCAAUGCGCCCGUCGAGAUUCAGCCGGUCGGCGGGAUCGGUCCCGUGGUCUUUGCGGAUCCGAACGGACCGCGGCCCGGGACUCGUUCCUCCCGGCCGUCGCACUUCUCUUGGGCGCGCGUCAACGUCGGUUGGGACUGGGUCUGAAAGGUGCCGGGAAGGUGGGUUCGGCAGCCCGGUAAUCUACUGGCCCGGGCCCGACCGAGGAGUUAUCUAUAUCGCAGCGCACGCCAUCCGUGGCCGGGGUCCCGACCUCUCCGUCCGGUUGUCGAAUGCGGUGGACUGCUUGCAGUGUUCCGCGCCCGCCGCCGGUCGUUGGGUUGGUGUGCUCGCUAGUUUGCGCUUGGGAUGUUGGCGGUCAUAUGGGUCU
RNAcentral lists this ribosomal RNA (741 nucleotides) under Caryophylliidae gen. sp. MVK-2010. RNAcentral's name for it is "eukaryotic LSU rRNA". It matches the Rfam family "Eukaryotic large subunit ribosomal RNA", at positions 65 to 641 of the family's 3401-position model. Lineage: Eukaryota; Metazoa; Cnidaria; Anthozoa; Scleractinia; Caryophylliidae. The record is from RNAcentral.